Molecule: long non-coding RNA, 1216 nt
Filed under: Gadus morhua (Atlantic cod)
Lineage: Eukaryota; Metazoa; Chordata; Actinopteri; Gadiformes; Gadidae
Description: lncRNA (ENSGMOG00000023685.1)
Source: RNAcentral
UAAUUUUCCUGUGGAAUUGUUUGUCAGACUUUGACAAGUGUCGCACAGUGUACCCCCCACGUCACCAGGAUACACUCGCACAUGGCAGAUUCAGGACGUCAAAAAAGGCUGUUGCGCCUGGUGUGGAGAGUACAAAGCGGUAUGUAUGUUUUUCUGAGCAAGCAUGACCAUGCUGCAUGCUAUAACAUCAUGUCUUGUACUACACUAAUGCAACCAAUACCUUUGCAGAUGCUUUGCAGGAGGGAGAAGCCCAGCACAGUGGCCAGACUGCAAUCGGGUUUGUGAGGCACUCUUCGUCCAACUUUGCGAGGAGUACCGUGGAUCGAGGCGGAUUGAUGGGGUCCACCACGAGCGCUGGAGUCUGGUUAAGAAAGCGUACCUCCACAUCCGUCAGGUGGUUUUAAACAACGCCACGGUGAUGGAGAAGACCUCACUUCAGCUCCCGGUCGUGAACACGGCAACACUCUCGAGUUGGUACUGCAAACGGGGAAGAGGACAGGAGAAGAGGAUUCUCGAGCAAGGGAUCUGUCCACCUCAGACAACAACUGUGAACCCCGAGAGCCUGCCUCCUGCAGUUCAGAGGAAAGGCAAACCGUGUAUGCCUCAAAGCAUCGUGGCAUAUUCCCACGUAUUUGUUCUGCCACCUAACACUGCAGGGACGGCAACACUGCAGGGACGGAAGAUCAGAAGAGUGAACCCUCCUUCUGAUCUUCUGAGGCCACCAUGCCUCAAUCCCUCUGGUCUGUGCCUCAACCUCACCUGUCUGCCUUACAGCCUGCAGGAGCAUCUGUGGUACAUGUGCCAUACCUACCAUAUACCACCACCCACUAUCGAAAGAAAAAAAGAGAGGAGGAGGAGAAGACUGGUUUCAAGAAGAGGAAAUAUACAAGGAGUAGUGCCCCCAUUCUCUGCCGUCAGUGUCAGAGGGAGCGGGACCCUGCCACCCACAAUCAGUACUUUGGGAACUGGUACUGCCACGCCACAGCCACCAUGACCCUGGCUGAGUGGAGGGCUGCACUUGAAGCCCAGGGUUAUGGGAGGAAAAAGGGAGCUCCACCUUAAAUUGACAGUGUAUCGGGCACAAAAAGUUUUUUUUUUUUAAUGUUGUUUUUAAGUUUUAAUUUAAGCUUUUAUGUGUAACUUUUUGUGCAAUAACAUUUUACUGUGUGUGUGACACAAUCUUAAUUUAAUUUCCCUCUUAAUGCUUUAAUAAAAC